GUGCUUGCUUCGUACCACAUAUGCUAAAAUACCAGGUAAAAGAGAAGAUCAGUAAGGCCCCAGCACAAGGAUGAAACACAAAAUCAUAAAGCAUCCCAUAUUUUA
Molecule: small nuclear RNA, 105 nt
Filed under: Aotus nancymaae (Ma's night monkey)
Lineage: Eukaryota; Metazoa; Chordata; Mammalia; Primates; Aotidae
Source: RNAcentral